Molecule: ribosomal RNA, 302 nt
Filed under: uncultured bacterium
Lineage: Bacteria
Description: partial 16S ribosomal RNA
Rfam family: Bacterial small subunit ribosomal RNA
Source: RNAcentral
GCAGUCGCCGCGGUAAUACGGAGGGUGCAAGCGUUAAUCGGAAUUACUGGGCGUAAAGCGCACGCAGGCGGUCUGUCAAGUCAGAUGUGAAAUCCCCGGGCUUAACCUGGGAACUGCAUUUGAAACUGGCAGGCUAGAGUCUUGUAGAGGGGGGUAGAAUUCCAGGUGUAGCGGUGAAAUGCGUAGAGAUCUGGAGGAAUACCGGUGGCGAAGGCGGCCCCCUGGACAAAGACUGACGCUCAGGUGCGAAAGCGUGGGGAGCAAACAGGAUUAGAGACCCCGGUAGUCCCUGUCUCUUAUAC